CCUGGUGAUUUAGUUGAGCGUGCCCUACCCGAUCCAUUCCGAACUCGGAAGUAAAAGCGCUCAAUGCUGAUGAUACUGGCCGCUUCGGCGGCAGGGAAAGUAAGCUUUGCCAGGA
Molecule: ribosomal RNA, 115 nt
Filed under: Candidatus Jorgensenbacteria bacterium
Lineage: Bacteria; Candidatus Joergenseniibacteriota
Source: RNAcentral